CAAGUCUUUUACCAGCCAUCAAGUUUCCAUCUGAGGACCAGGUUCUUGCCUGUGUAAUGUAUUUCUCUUCAGAGAGACUGUCAGUCAUUCAUUACCAGGAUCUGAAGAAUGGCUGUUAUGAAUAAAUGUGUCUGUUUUUUUCCAGUGAAA
This is a long non-coding RNA of Passer domesticus (house sparrow), 150 nucleotides long. RefSeq lists it as uncharacterized. The record is from RefSeq and is a predicted model, not a curated record. The transcript has 2 exons. Lineage: Eukaryota; Metazoa; Chordata; Aves; Passeriformes; Passeridae.